AUCACUAGUAAAUUCCCUAUGGCAUGCAACGGGUGAUGGCGGCAGGCAAGGCAAACACAGCCAGCCAGUUAUGACAGUUGAUUAGCUUAACCUACUGCAAAUUUGAAGCUUCAGAGAAGGUGAGAUAGUUCAAUUCAUUUGAUUUCGUUCAAUAAAAAUAUAAUAAAUAAAAGUUAUUGCUUCCUUACUUACCUAGUUUGUUAAUUUUCAACGCCUUAUUUUUGUCUGUCAAUAGAAACUUCAAGUCCAUUCAUCAAAUUGUCAAUUAUAUUAUUAGUCAAUUUAUUACGUGUUUGAUUCGAAUUUGUGUGUGAAAGUUCAAGAAAGGGGUGCAAUAACAUGUUUUAACUGUAGGGGAGGAUUAGUUAUUUUUUAUCUUACAGGCGGAAUAGGGUGUUAUUAUAAUGGGCUGCUCUGGAUCUGAAAGGAGACUCUUCUUAAAAAAAAAAUGAAAGAGACAAAAGAAAAUUGCAAAGACAUGUCAUCAAUUUCUAAGUCUUAACAAGGAGGUCUCCUUCUCCUUCUCGUAUGGCCUUUUAUUUUAUUUUAUUUUUUUUUUGAGUUAGAUAGGAAGUCUCUGUCUUGUCUUAAACUUGAUGUUCUGUAAGAUGUUCCAUUGGUCCGAAUUAUUGCACUAUCUUUUCAUCAGGUACUGUAUUUUAUAUAAAUAUAUUCUCAUGUCACAUAAAAUUCGAUGCAAAGUUUAUUGGGAUUUAAUGACAUCAAUAAAUCAUCAAUAAAUCCUCCUUUGUUUAUCUAUUCUUUUAGACUUUCUUGUACAACCUUAUUUCUCUUUUCCUUAUGGGGAAUGCUAUUCGAACGUCUAUCCAUUUUACCAUUUAAAGUGAAAAGCGCUUGUACAAAAGACAAUAAUACUAGGGAGAUCUUAGUAGUAGUAUUUGAGUUUUAAUCCAAAUUUUAUUAUCAUGUAUCAUUUAUUUAUUAGAUAAUAAAUUUCAUAACUUAUACAUUAUUUGACCACCAUCUGAUAAAUCAAUACUCCUAUAAAAAUAGUUAUGGAUGGAACAAUAACAUUCACAUCACUCAUUUUUCAUGUGUUAUCAUAAAAGCAUGUUGUUUGUUCAUUUUGUAAAAAUACCCUUAACCCAUGUUUGGUUGGAAGAAAUGGUAGGAGCGGAAAGGAAAGAAUGGGAGAGAAAAUGAGUGAAAAUGAGUGAAAAAGAAUGUCAAUUUCAUUUUUAUUGUUUGGAUGGUCAAAAAUUAUUACUAGAAAAUAGACCGCGAAGAAUUGAAGAAUUACAGAUGAAUGUACAAAAAGAACUUAAUUGUGUGAAUCGAAAAAUAAACAUUGCUAUUACACGAAUUACAAAUCCUUAUGGACACCCCAAUAUUCUUGCCGAAUUUAUAGCCGGCUGCUGUACGGCCAAGGCGGAUGUACGGUACAGCAGUUAAAAAAUACUAUAAUAUUUUACAAUCUAUUAGAUAAAUUUUAUUAUAUUAAAAAAAGUUUUAGAAUAAAUGAAAACAUAAUAUUAAAAUAAGUAUAAAAAAUUCAAAAUAUUUGGGAUACUAUGUAAAAUAAUUUUAAUAUUAUUAAUGCGUGCAAUAUAUUUUAUUAAAUGUAAAGUAUAUUUAACUCAGAGAUUUAUUUAAAAUCUUUGUAAUAGAUUCAUGAAAGUAUUAAAAUAAUAUAGUGAUAUAAAUUAUUUUUAAAUAUUUUACUUUUAUUAAUUUAUUAAAUAGAUUAAAUUAUUUGUGUUUAUGUAUAUUUACUCAAAUAUUUAAAGUUAAUUAUUUUAAUCAUUAUAUUUAAAAGGUAUUAUUUAACUUUAUUUAUAAAAAAAUUUAGAGAUAUGUAUGACCAUUUUCAUAAAUUUUACGGGUAAUGAUUCCUUUUUCGUAAAUAAAUAAAUUAAUUAAAAAUGGAGAAAGGUUUGGCAGAGUUGUGUUUGGCUUGAGAUUCCUUUUGACAAGCAAUUCUUGACGGGAAAAUGAGUUGGUUGUUUGUCUUUUAUCCCCAAAGAUGUGAGACUGAUUCAAGUUAUUUACGCAUCCUGUCCAUUAUCCAACAACAAUUCUGGUGACGACAGUGAUCUGAUCUACUACCCAUUUUAAUUAGUAAUAAAUUAGGUACAGCUAGCCACCGAUUUAGAAAGGAGAGUUGGCAACAGCAUUGGUUCACUCCUGAAAAAAUAUUAAAAAAAUAAAUCGAGAGUUGCAAUUUGCCAUUUGUUUCGAUGAUUAUUCAAAAGUGGUUGUUUUGGGAUACAUUUGAAUAAAGGAAUGCAGGCCUUGGAGAAAUAAUAAUAAUAAUAAUGAACAACAUAUAUGAGAUCCUCGGUUGGCCUCUCCACAUCGACAUCUAUAGAUGCAGUCUCGGAUCCUCAAGAAGCAACAAUGUUAAAUGCAUAUCACUCACAAUAUCCCGUAAUAACACAAUCUUAUGAGCAAAAUUUGCAAAAACACCAAAACCACACAGGACCUUAGUAAAUGAAAACACCUGCUAUUCAUAUACAAGUAGAAUUUUAGCUUUGUUAUCACGAUGCACCCUACUUGAAAAGAAUCAACUUUGAAUUAUGCAUCUAUGUACUCUUUACAAGGUGGAACAUGAUUCAAAUUUCAAGAACCACGAAAGCUAUAUAAAAAAUAUAUCAAGGCCAACAAAACCAUCGGUGCAGACACCGGUAAUUACAACAAUUCUACUGGUUUGGAACCAGAGUUUCUCACUUCUUCCUUAUGACUGGAAUCAGAGAUUCUCACUUCUUCCUUAUGACUAGAAGGGCGCUCAAUUUCAGUAAAAGCCUGAUAGCCGGUAUAACUUGAGAACUGACCUGAGCCACUAUUACUGCUCAUAGACUUCUCAAUCUCAUCUAUCUCAGCUACAAGAGAAAUUGGUCGUUCUGGGAUUGUGGGAACAGACUGCUCAGUUUCCAACAUUUUCACGACCUGAUCCAUCGUUGGCCUGGCAUAUAACUGUGGAUGGGAACAAAGAACGGCAAUCGUUACAUACUUCUCUAGAACUUCGGGUACACCCAUCUCUGGCAUACCAUCUUCAAUAACAUCCAGAGCUCUCCCCUCCUUCACCAAUGACCAAGCCCAGUCCGUCACAAGAGAAGCUUGGCCAUCAUCAUUCAUAAUGAGUGCCUUCCUGCCACUCAAAAGCUCCAGAAGCACAACACCAAAGCUGUACACAUCACUCCUGUCAGUCAAUUGCCCAUACAAAGCAUACUCAGGAGCAAGAUAUCCCAUUGUCCCAGCCACCCUAGUACUCAAAUGAGUGAGCCCCUCCGGCGUAAACUUUGCAAGCCCAAAAUCCCCCACCUUCGCCUCAAACUUCUCAUCCAAUAAUAUAUUACUAGCUUUAAUAUCCCUGUGAAAAAUUGCCGGCUGUGCACCAAAAUGCAAAUAGGCCAAUCCCCUUGCCGUCCCAAGAGCAAUCGACUGCCUAAGAUGCCAACUAAGCUUCGGCCCAUUGGAAGCAAACAAAUGAUCAUAAACGCUUCCAUUCUUCAUCAAAUCACAGACAAUAAUUCUCUGGUGACCCUCUAACUGAGUAGUGGCAAUACAAUAACCUCUCAAAGCAACAAGAUUGACAUGCCUAACGCUAGCAAUAACCUCCACCUCAUGCUUGAAAGUUGCAUCACCCGCCGCGGAACAAUUCUUGAACCUCUUCAAAGCAACCUCAGAGCCAUCGGGCAAAAGCCCUUUGUAGACAUUACCAUAACCUCCUCUCCCAAUGAUAUUAUCCCUUGAGAAAUUCCGAGUAGCUUUCUUAAUGUCAUCAAAUGUGAACCUGACCAAAUUAGUACUCUCAUGAAUAGACUCCAAUCCCAUUUCAAUUCUAUUAACCUCUUCUCGUUCCCUCUUCUUUCUUCUGUUAGAAACCACACGCUUACGCCAAAAGAUCCAAACCCCACCAGAAAUUAGCAACAACCCAACAACACAAACAACCAAAACCCCGGCAAUUAAGCCCUUGUUCUUCUUCUUACUCUUCUUUGAUGAUUCAGUUACCUCAAAUGAGAACAAACACUUAGCAGUGCCCCUAUCGGUGGGACCAAACUGAUUGACGGCCGCGGCGGCGUAAAUGAAGGGAUAGGCCAGACAAUCAGACAAGUUCCCAACGGAAGGCCCGGUCAAAUAGGCCUGCAAGCGGGCCAAGCUGGUAGUACAAGCAGCACAAGGGGCACUAUUCCCCAAGGACUGGUUACAGUUGGAAACGACGUCGUCGAGAGUGGACUGGGGGAUCAAUCUCUCGAACUGGGAUCUCGUGGAGAUGUUCAUACAGCCUUCAGAGAUCCAAUCGGUUUGGAAGCCGCAGCGGGAGCGUACGUCGAAGUUCGGGGCGACUCUGUCGACAAGGGUUUGGUAAACGCGCCAGCAUGACUCGGAGGCGUUGAGGGGCGGCAGGAAGUUUCCGGAGCGUUUGAGGUAUUGUGAAUCCACGAGACGAAGGCCCUUUUUAACUUCCUGACACUGCGAGGGCAGGUCACUCGGAGUCUUGAACUGGGACAUCAGCUGCUGUAAGAAGUUGAAGUCAAGCGGGCACGAAACGGUGGCGUUUCGUUGUGCCGCGGCCGUUGUUGUGGAGGCCGCCAGGAAAAGAAUGAGAACAAGGCCUCGUAAGAAUGACAUCGGCAUCGACAUCGACAUCUCGGGGACGGGGAGAGAUACCGGGCGGUGUUGGUAGCAGUACAAAGACAACAAUAAGGAAAAGCAUGUGCACGUGCUUGUGCUUGGGGAUUGUGGUGCAAUUUGAGUAAACUAGUGUAAUUUGAGUUGGGAGUUUGACUAAUCACUAGUAAAUUCCCUAUGGCAUGCAACGGGUGAUGGCGGCAGGCAAGGCAAACACAGCCAGCCAGUUAUGACAGUUGAUUAGCUUAACCUACUGCAAAUUUGAAGCUUCAGAGAAGGUGAGAUAGUUCAAUUCAUUUGAUUUCGUUCAAUAAAAAUAUAAUAAAUAAAAGUUAUUGCUUCCUUACUUACCUAGUUUGUUCAUUUUCAACGCCUUAUUUUUGUCUGUCAAUAGAAACUUCAAGUCCAUUCAUCAAAUUGUCAAUUAUAUUAUUAGUCAAUUUAUUACGUGUUUGAUUCGAAUUUGUGUGUGAAAGUUCAAGAAAGGGGUGCAAUAACAUGUUUUAAC
This 5101-nucleotide long non-coding RNA is filed under the name Citrus sinensis (sweet orange). Its description in RNAcentral is "long non-coding RNA (CSIN_LNC002390)". Lineage: Eukaryota; Viridiplantae; Streptophyta; Magnoliopsida; Sapindales; Rutaceae. The record is from RNAcentral.